Molecule: long non-coding RNA, 4289 nt
Organism: Chenopodium quinoa (quinoa)
Lineage: Eukaryota; Viridiplantae; Streptophyta; Magnoliopsida; Caryophyllales; Amaranthaceae
Exons: 2
Source: RefSeq, a predicted model, not a curated record
UAUAUGUUCAAAGUGGUUUAAAGGACCUUAUAAGCUUGUUUUAUUGUUUAGAGGGACCUAAACGUCACAUUCCGGUAAUUAACUUUUUUACUCCGGCGUUGACUAGUCACAUGAUUGUCAUGUGACUUACAAAAACUACCCAUUCCUAAUUUUUUCAUGUUUUCUCUCCAUUCUUCUUUCUCUCUCUUCUAAUCCCCUAAAUUUCUCUCUCCUUUGGUAUUCUCUGAGGAAUAAUACAUAAAAGAGUGAAGAUUAAGUCCAGAAAUUAUUCUCUCAUCUACCAAAUUGAAUUAGAGUUAGAGAAGAGAGGACUUUCUUGGCCCAGGUUUAAAUAUAAAUACCCAGCUUAUAAAGUGAUGGAUCCUAUUAACAUUUGGUUGUUCUAUGGGGGUAAAUUUGUGACUAGAAAGGGGGUGACCACCUAUGAGAAGGGUGAUAGUGAUUAUUAUGGUUGGUCAUUACAUCCUAAUGUGGAAGAGGUUUGUUACUUUGAAUUUGUGCAUGGGGUUAAGACAGAGUUAGGCUACAAACAUAUGGGUCAGCUUUGGUUUAGGAAGGAUAGUCACACUUGGUUUAAUGGUAGGCAACAAUUAUAAGGUGAUGAAGACAUUAUCGAAUUUCUGUUUUCUAGAAAGGAUGAUGGAUGGUACCAUUUAUAUGUAGUGCAUGAGGAUCCAAUUGUUGAGGAUGAUAGGAGACUGCUGAUGUAUGGACCUGAUAGGGUGGGAGUUUACACAGAUUCUUCUGAUGGGGGGUCUAGUAGUUUGGGUAGUUUUUUUAAUUUCUGAUUCACUAAGAAGUGACUCAGCAACACAUGGAAGCAAUGUUGGAAGUGGGGCCCCGUUAAAAGAUGUUAUUCAAAACCCUAGAUCUACUUCCUUAUCCCUUUGCAUUGUAAGUCCAUAAAAGGUCCUAACUGCAGCUCUAGGGAUGGCAAUCUAGUCCGGAUCCGACCCUACUCCGCCCUGAUCUGAGGUAAAAAAAAUUCGCUCCGAGUCCGAGAAAAAAGUAAUCCGAGUGCGACUCCGUUAAAAUAAUUUGACUCUGAGUCAGAGGAGGGUCGGAGUCGGUCCUACAAAAAAUCCGACUCUGAUAAAUGUCAGACUCUGACGGGUUAUCUGAAUCCGAUUCCGAUAGAUAGUGGAUUUUUGUGUGGGUCAUGGUGGCAUUGAGUGUGGGUAAUAAGGCCCAAAUAGCCCAAUUUCUCAAAGUAUAUUAAUUAACAAAAGAAACUAGGAUUCGGGUCGGAUCAAAGUCGGAGUCGAAGGCCGGAUCGGAUUUAGCAUAAUCCGCUUCGGGUCUGACCCGUUGCCAUCCCUAAGCAGCUCAUUCAAACCUUAUCAAAAAUUUGAAUCUUCUCCUUCUUCUUCCACAAGUCUCAUCAUUUAAACAACAUAUACUCCAGCUUCUGAUCAUGUGAAACCUAAAAGAAGACUUAGAAUUAAAAAAGUAUGUUCAAACCAAUCCGAAGCUCAAACCAAUCCGAAACUAACCUCAGAUUGAAAUUUAACCCACCCAAGCAUCUCAAAGUACUCCUCUUUGAAAUUCUUAUGACUUUGACACACUUAAAUCUACUCUGAUGAAACGAUUGAAACCCAAAAGGAGACUAAGGAAGCAUUCUUUACAUCCCAUUCUUGAAGUUGAGGUUGAUGAUGUUGUUGGAGAAGAUGAUGAAUUAGAGUCAGAGUUUGAUGCUAGGGAGUCUGCUUUGGUUUUAAGUGAGGAUGAUUAUGAGGAUCAAGAUGCUGAUGAUCUAUUUAUUUGCAGCUAAUGUAGAUCUGCAGGUUAGUGAGAUUGUGAAAAGAAGUUUAGUGGGGCUUAAGACUAAGAACAAGGAGGCUGAGGGAGAUGAACAAGGAAAUAUAUUGUUAGUGAGUGAUGAGGAUCUUAAUGAAAGUGAUGAUGAGCUGACAGAAAUACCUGGAUUUAAUGAUGAUGAAAUUCAAUAUCUUGUUUUCAAUCCAACUGUAGAUUUUAUGAAGAAGAUUUCCUUCACUUUAGGCCUAAUAUUUUCUAUCUGGGAAGGUGUUUAGGAAGGCAUUACAACAUCAAGAAAUUGAGAAUGGUUAUAAUUACAAUUUUUUGCACAACAAGAGUCAUAAAAUAACUGUAGAGUCCAUUAGGAAAUCAAACCCAGGAAAUGCUACAGUGGUACUUGGUGGGUACGGUAUUGAAAACCCACCUCCUUUGUUCCAGAGAAUUUAUAUUUGCCUACAACCCUACAAAGAGGGUUUCAUGGCAGGUUACAGGCUAAUAUUAGGGGUUGAUGGUGCUCAUAUGUAAGGGCUUUUCUCUAGGAUAUUGUUGACAGCUGUUGGAAAGGAUGAAAACAAUAACAUCUUUCCAGUAGCUUGGACUGUAGUGGAAACAUAAAAUGCAGAUACAUGGGCCUGGUUCCUAGAAUUCUUAGUGGCUGAAAUUUCUUAAGAUGCACAAGCAGUAACAUGGGUUUAAGAGAUUGAAUAUGAUGUUACCUUUAUGUCUAAUAGGCAAAAGGUUAGUCUUUCUACUUAUACACUUUAAUUUAUCUCUCAUUUAUGUUCAUCAUUUAACUUAAAAAUGUUAUUUCAAUAGGGUCUACUACUUGAUGCAUUUAACAAAGUAAUUCCCAAUACCGAGAAAAGAUAUUGUUGUAGACAUGCAUAUAUGGUCCAACUUUAAGAACAAGUUCCCAAGGGAAGUAUACAGAGAAGUUUUCUGGAAAGCAGUAAGGUCAUCGGCUAAGGUAACAGAUUUUGUUAUGCAUUGUAUAUAAGUUAUUGCUUAUUAUUCAGUGUAUAUCGUUAAAUCAAUUGGGGAUGUGUAUUCUGUCCAUCAUCACUUUGAAUCAUACAAGGACGAGAUUAAAAAAAUUGAAUGCAGCAGCUUUCAAUUACCUAGAUGAUAUUCAUGUAUGCCAUUGGUCAAGACAUGGGUUUAGUUCUAGGGUUAUCUAGUAUGUUGCUAAGCAAUUGUUGUGAGAGUUUCAACAAUGUGUUGAGAGAGGCUGCUAAACCAAAUAUGUCAUUAAUGGAGUGGAUAAGACAAUAUGUUGUGAGAUGUUUUGCUAAAAGGGAAGGGUUACAAAACUUUAAAGGAGUAAUUAUGCCCUUUGUUGCAAAAAUGAUUUAGAGGGGUCAAAAGAUGGUACAUUGGUAGCAUAAGAAUAACCCAAGCUGACUUGCAUGAGUUUGAGGUUGAUGAUGAUGGGGACACAUUUGUGGCUAACUUGGAAGACAAAAGAAAUGGGUGUUAUAGGUGGACUCUGAUGGGAAUCCCCUACUGGCAUGCAUUGGCCUGCAUAGAAAAGAGAUGGUUGAACUAUGAAGAUUUGUUCACCCUGCCAACCAUAUUGCUACAUAUGCAGCAACUUAUGCACCUCCGAUCCCUUUCAUGCUAUGCCUAGAAAAAAGCAAUGGCAGAAAGUACCUAUGGCUGAACCACUACCCCCACCAUUCAGUGUCAUGCCUUGUAGAAAAUAAAGAAAGAAAAAGACAGGUGAGCGAAAGGACAAGUAUGUUAAGAGGCCAAAAAAAGAACAACUAUAAAAGGUUUGGGGAAUUGGGUCAUUCUAGUAUUUCUUUUUUCAAACCUGAUAAACCAAAGGGUCCUGUUAAUAAGGGUGGGAGACCUAAACAAGAAAAAAUCAAGGACCAUUUCAAUCAACAACAGUUAUAGCCUCUAGUUCAUCAGCAGGAACAUCUGUAGGUAGAGCUUCAGGAUAUGCAACAAUAGUCAGGGCAUUAGAAAUGCAACAACAUUUAGGGCAUCAACUAAGGGUACUGGUGCAGCAGCAUUCAGGCUAUCAACUAGGGCUUUAAGUGCAGUAGUAUCUAGGCCAUUAACUACUGCUUCAGGAAGGGGACCUGCUGUGAGGAAGAAAAAAGAAUCAUCUUCAUCUGGGGGAGCUGUUGCAUCUCAGAACACUAAGAAACAACCUACUCCUACUGCCAAAGGCAAGAGACAGAAUACAAGUUCUAUGAAUGCUCUACUAGCCUCACAACCAUCUCAGCAAAGUUGUGUAUCUUAUGACUGAUAGAAUUGAAGGGUUUUCAAGCAAUGUAAUCUUAACUUUAGCUAAAAAAAACUGAUAUUUUGGUUAAGUAACUUAUUGUCAUGUAAUUUCAGUUACUUUUGGAUGAUUUCAGUCACUUUUGGAUAAUUUCAGUGACUUUUGGAUACAACGUAUUCAACUUUGUUGUGGAUAAUUUCAUGAAUUUUUCUACUGCUAUAUAUGUUUGAAAUUUAUAUUUACAUCCAUUUUAACAUAUGUCAUUGUGGCUAUAAUAAUGUUACAAAAUUCAAAAACA